Mauremys mutica (yellowpond turtle) is the source of this 4804-nucleotide long non-coding RNA. RefSeq lists it as uncharacterized. Lineage: Eukaryota; Metazoa; Chordata; Testudines; Geoemydidae. The transcript is spliced from 3 exons. The record is from RefSeq and is a predicted model, not a curated record.
CAAGGAGAAAGGACUGGCUGUCAAGGAGAAAGGACAGGCAGUGGAAGUGCUAGCACUUGGGACAGAGCAGUGCUACUAGCAGGGACCAGGGAAACUACAGAGAGCUCCUAUCUCAUUGCUAAGACUGGCAUGCUCAGGCCCUGAGGUAAGGGCAGAAAAGGUGCUGGGACUGUGGGAAAGUGGUCCAGGGAAACGUAUUGAAAGGUUGGAGAGUAUGCAGCAUAUGCCAUCUACAGGGUCCCUGGGCUGGGACCUGGAGUAGUGGGUGGGCCUGAGUCCCUCCCUCACCCCCACUUGCCACUGAGGUAGUGGCUGGACAGUUGGACUGUGGUACUGGCCCCCAGAAAGGGGGAGCACAGAGUGUGGCACAGCUGGAGGGCUGUGUCAUGAAGAGGAUGCCACUGUCUUUGAAGUGAUGGCAGGUGAGAUGCUAUUGGGAGUGAGCAUACUGUCCUGCGGAGCUGAUCCCCAAGACGACCAGCAGAAGUUUCUAGCAGGUGAUUGUUUUGCAUCAUUAGAAGAAAAGAAAAGCCAAAGGCUGUGUUUUUCAAACAUUCUUCAGACAGAUCAAGGACUAGAGGUUGAUAUAUUGUCACACCUUUAGGAGAGGAGAAAUUCAAGUAAAUAUGUGAGGAUGUCUUCAAUAAUUCUGAAUAGAACAGCUGCAGUUGUAUUCGAAGAUUCAGAAAAACCUACAAAAGACCUCAUGAAUUUCUAAACACUAAUGAAACAUAACAUAUGCAGAAUAACAUCUGCUCAUGUCUACUAAGGUCUAUUGUUGCAUCUGCCAUGACAAAGGAUUUCACAGAAUGUGUACUGUUUAUGUGUUUUCUAAACACUCUGUGACAAUUUCUACAGUUCAUUUGUACAUACAUGAAUAUCUUUCCACACAAGCCCUCUGCAAUCAAAUAAGAAUUAAGAGGAAAAUCUGUUCUUCUUUUAGUCUUUUCUAGAUAUUGGAGCUUUCCUCUGAAAAUGAAUUGCAAUUACCCAAUGUGCAAAAAGCAUUGAUGAGACAAUUGUGAGCCAAAAGAUUAGUCUCCUCUUACGUUUAUUCUUUUCUUUCCUGUUGUAUUGAUGUGUUUAUAGAGUUUGACCAGAAGGGGCCAUCAGGUACCUCACUCGUCACAGACAUCUUUCUCUGGCUGUAGGCAUCGCUGUAGAGCCAGUUUAGAAUUUGGAAUGUGAGCUUCCAGCCUUAAGUGUUAGGGAGGUGGCAACCCCCUUUCUAGAUGUAAAGCAGUCCAGAAAUGGGAAACGAAUUAACACUGCAGCCCACAAAACUGUCCAGGCUUACCAGCAAUUUCCUGCAAGGAAAGAGCCUCUGUGGGGGAGGUCUGGGCCCCUAACCCAUUGUAUCCAAGGACCCAGGCUGAGCACCCUGGGUUCUAAACAAAAAGGGAGAAACAAAGUAAAGAAGGUCUUCUAAUUCCCAGCGGGUCCAGGUGGCAGAGCCUCUUCAGGUGUCUUCCUCAUAAGCAGUCUCUGCACUGUGGAACUAGGGAGCUCUAGCUCUGCUUAUCUCUGAACGCACUGAGCUGGGAUCCCCUCUUUUUAAGAAGCUGCCCCUCUCAAGGUUUGACAGGUCUCUCCGGUGCACUGGGUUGGCUCUGAUCACGCCCAGAGGAGCUCUUUAACUCCUUUCUGUCUGGGGAGGGAACCUGUUCAACCACAGAAGGCUUUCCAAAGUUUUCUCCCAGGAAUGCUUUUUCUGUGUGUGCUGAAUUCCCAUGCCCAAAGAAACAUCAUAGGCCUUUCAAUAAUACUGAUAAUACUAGUAUGUCAUUAAUAUAAACGAUAGCACUGUAUUGCCUUAAGUAAUGUGCUUAGUCCAGUCACUUCAUUUGCGGGCUGUGGGGGGUAGGGGAGGAAGAGAUGCACCAGAAAUGGAGAAGUCCGGUGAUGCAAAUUAUUAAAGGCAUGGAGAAUCUUCCAUAUAAGCAGAGAUUCAAAUUAUUUUCACAUUCAUUAUCAUUAUAGGUAUCUGUAAUGUUAGGAACUAUAAUCUUAUCGCCUGCUAUUUGACCUUUUAAUUCCUAUCUGUUAGAACAGAAUGUAUCUUUUUGACAGCCACCAGCACUCCUGAAAUGUGUUUAUUUGAUAAAAUGCCCAGUCACAAAAAUGUCAACAGAUGUAGCACCAAAGUAGUACAGAUGAGGGACUUUAUGCAAAAAUAUAGCAUUAGUGGUGUUGCAGUGUCCAUUUAAACCUUGUGCUCCCUGUACUUAUGCACUACUGAAAUCAGGAUAACAUCUCCUGAGUGAGUAGGAUGUUAGCCUAAUAGACAGGAACAUCUGUGCCUGUUAUCAAGAUAGUGUGGUGGUGUUGCCUGUUGGAUUUUGAAGAGUAGGGUUCCAAAGCAAGUAAUGUUAAAAAUGGCAGACACACCUGAACUGCUGAAUAGGCUAUUGUUUCUUCACCUGGGAUGUACAUUAACUUCCAAGAACAUCACUAUACAGUUUCUGUUGCCAUGAAAAAAUGAGCUUUAGAUCUUGUGCAUAAUGAUUAGUGUUCCAUCUGGAGGAAUGGGGUAUUCGGUAAAGAUGUUACAGUGAAAUUUACCCCCUAUUUUGCUAUUCAGAAGAUCCCAGCAGCUCUGUAUAAAACAGUUGCAUAGAACAAAGAGAUGCCAGUUGCAAAGAGUUUUCAAGAGUAACAUUAAGACCAGCAAGUUCAACUGAAUUAACUUAUUGAGCAAGUUUCAAGCUCCCGUCCCUUCUCUUAUAUUAUGAGAAGAUUUUCUCUGGAAGAAAUUGAUAAUGGCAGUAUUGUAACAUGCAGGUUUAGAAAUGCUUCACUUCUGCUUUUGUGGACACUAAGCUGCCUGGGGGCUGUGUAGUUAAAAUAAAAGUAUUGCAAUGAGAAAUCAUGUUGUAUUUGCAUCCAUUUAGGUACAAUGCCAACAGCAGGAGUUUCCUUUUUACUUUGAUCACCUUUGCAACUUGUAGGAUAUCCUUGUUGCUACACAAUUCACUUGUGCCAGUAAGGUGCCCCUACCUCAACCCCAUUCCACUAUUCGAUCCCUUCCCACAUUUUAUUCUUCAAGUAGUUUAUUUAAUGUAACGCUUUUGGCACUGAGUUUUCUGUUAAUAUAUUUCUGUAAGUUUGCCUGGCCUGAUUCACAUCUCAUUUAUGCUGGCAUAGAUCAUGAGUAAUAGCUCCAUUGUUGUGAGGUCAGAUUUGGAUAUGUUAUGCACCUCGAUUGCAUUAGGUUUUCUUCCCCUUUCUCGUUUCCUUCACUCCUUCCUUCUCUUUGGCUGGAGCUCCUGGUGCAUCUUUUCCUCCUCCUUUUUCUGUAUUUCCAAUCAAAAUUUUUGUCUGUCUGUGUUCCGUCAGUCCUUUAUUUUUUCUCUUCAGUGAGAUCCCCAACAUGUACUUGGUCCCCAUUCUCUAUCACCUAAACUCUCAUUCCACACUAGUACUUCUCUCCAAGAUAUAUACACCUACUCACCUUCAUGAGACCUCCCAGACAAAAACUCGCAGGGGGCUAGUGGGGAAAGGAACCCCUCCUCCCAAUAGAAAUGGCUCCUGGGGAGAGUGUGUUAAGCUGGGUCCACAGACUAAUCACUGAUCUUGACUCCUCUCAUAAUGCUUGGUCUAGUUUCUGAUGGUUCUCCCAGAGAUGGCAUGACAGAUGAGACAUGAGCAUGUGAUUGCAUAUCCAAGGCACAGUCCUUCACUGUCAAAUGAACUCCUGUACUAUGCUCUCCAAAUUAAACUUGCAUCCUGCACCCUAGCUGCCCAAGUUUCCAGUUUUAAUGUCUCAGGCCCCUGACUGGGAUCCCCAUUUGGGAUCCUAGCACCUUCCCAUAACUGGAGGAGGAGGAAAGAGAGAACAACUUGCAAUGGUGCGAGUAAAUGGGCUAGAAUAGGAGUCCUUUGCUGGUGGCUCUGUCCUCUAGACAAGCCAGGCAGUCUGGGCGGAAAAUCCCUGAUCAGUUGUCUUCAUCUCCCUGGUAUUUUAUAAAAAUAUUUUUUUAAACCUUACAAUAAAAAUCCUUUAUAGUUCACCUUUAAAACAUGGAGCUUACUGACAAAGGUAGAAAUAUUAUGAAAGACGAAAUCUUGAAUUCUGUUCUUCACCUCCCAGCCAUAUGAAAUGGCAACAAGUUUAUAAAGCUGUUGCAUACUAGAUCCACCGUUUUAAGUGAACUCCUUCCAGUGACUUGUUCUGCCAGCAUGGGAGCCACUUGAAUAAUUUUUGUACAAAUAUCGCUAAGGAAUGUCGGUAUCUCUGAUUGUGAAAUAAAACCAUCAGUAAUAGUAGGGCUAAUAUUGAACCAGGCAUCUAAAACUCACACGUAAGCAGGCAUCAGAGACACUAGAUGUAAUGCACUAUAUAUGCUCUCUGAUUCACAGGCUUUAUGGCCAGAAGGGACCAUUAUGUUAGUCUGAUCUUCUGCAUAACAUAGGCCAAAGAACAUCAUCCUAUUUCUGCAUCAAGCUCAUAAAUUCUGUUUGAGCCAUAGCAUAUCUCUUAGAAAGGUAGCCAAAGCUAAGAGCUACAAAGGCUCACUGAAUGUUGGGAGCGGUCAUCUCCCUGGAAUCAAAAUCAAGUCACACUCCUCACCCCUGUACACUAGCGAGUGACCCAGAAAAUCUGCCUUGUGUUAUCUGAACACAGCACUUUUUUGGAAUAUCUGACAGAAAUGACAUUGUUAUAUGCUGAGAGCUGAAUUAUUAUAAUUUUUCCAAUUGCGGCAUAUUUUUAAAUAUAUAUUUUCCAGAGAUAGCUAUGUAAUAGUUACAGGCAUACUUCGAAUGAGCCUAUUAUCAUAAAACUGCUGUUAAAUGACUGUAACAA